GCGUCCUUAGCUCAACUGGCAGAGCAGCUGGCUCUUAACCAGCGGGUUCGGGGUUCGAGUCCCUGAGGACGCA
Molecule: transfer RNA, 73 nt
Filed under: Planctomycetota bacterium
Lineage: Bacteria; Pseudomonadati; Planctomycetota
Description: Planctomycetes bacterium tRNA-Lys
Rfam family: tRNA
About the family: Transfer RNA (tRNA) molecules are approximately 80 nucleotides in length. Their secondary structure includes four short double-helical elements and three loops (D, anti-codon, and T loops).
Source: RNAcentral